GCGCCCGUAGCUCAGCUGGAUAGAGCGCCGGGCUUCGAACCCGUAGGUCGGGGGUUCAAGUCCCUCCGGGCGCACCA
Molecule: transfer RNA, 77 nt
Filed under: Acidobacteriota bacterium
Lineage: Bacteria; Pseudomonadati; Acidobacteriota
Also listed under: 2 other names
Description: Acidobacteria bacterium (soil metagenome) tRNA-Arg
Rfam family: tRNA
About the family: Transfer RNA (tRNA) molecules are approximately 80 nucleotides in length. Their secondary structure includes four short double-helical elements and three loops (D, anti-codon, and T loops). Further hydrogen bonds mediate the characteristic L-shaped molecular structure. tRNAs have two regions of fundamental functional importance: the anti-codon, which is responsible for specific mRNA codon recognition, and the 3' end, to which the tRNAs corresponding amino acid is attached (by aminoacyl-tRNA synthetases). tRNAs cope with the degeneracy of the genetic code in two manners: having more than one tRNA (with a specific anti-codon) for a particular amino acid; and 'wobble' base-pairing, i.e. permitting non-standard base-pairing at the 3rd anti-codon position.
Source: RNAcentral